GCCGGGCGUGGUGGUGUGCACCUGUAAUCCCAGCUACUUGGGAGGCUGAGGCAGGAGAAUCCCUUGAACCUGGGAGGUGGAGUUUGCAGUGAGCUGAGAUGGCGCCACUGCACUCCAGCGUGGGUGACAGAGCGAGACUCUGUCUCAAAAAAAAAAAAGUGUAAUAAAAUACACAUAGCAUAAAUGUAUCAUUUUAACCCCCGUCUCCCAGGCUGGAGUGCAGUGGUGCGACCUUAGCCCACUGCAAUCUCCACCUCCCAGGUUCAAGGGAUACUCCUGCCUCA
This 284-nucleotide signal recognition particle RNA is filed under the name Rhinopithecus roxellana (golden snub-nosed monkey). RNAcentral's name for it is "Metazoan signal recognition particle RNA (ENSRROG00000011059.1)". It matches the Rfam family "Metazoan signal recognition particle RNA". Rfam says of the family: The signal recognition particle (SRP) is a universally conserved ribonucleoprotein. It is involved in the co-translational targeting of proteins to membranes. The eukaryotic SRP consists of a 300-nucleotide 7S RNA and six proteins: SRPs 72, 68, 54, 19, 14, and 9. The record is from RNAcentral. Lineage: Eukaryota; Metazoa; Chordata; Mammalia; Primates; Cercopithecidae.